Non-coding RNA from Cajanus cajan (pigeon pea), 1008 nucleotides. Lineage: Eukaryota; Viridiplantae; Streptophyta; Magnoliopsida; Fabales; Fabaceae. The record is from RefSeq and is a predicted model, not a curated record.
CUUCACCGAGGGACGAAAUGGCAAUAUUGAGUAAAUUAGAAAAGCACGUAGCUGAAACUGAAAAAGAUGAAAAAUUGAAGGAGGUGGUGACGGUGUUUGAUGGAGCAAACGGUAUGGUGUCAUUUACCGGUGCUGCUAAGGGCAAAUUCAAAAGAAUCCAUUGAAUGCAUUCUUCAAACCCUUUGGAGAACCCGAAAAACUGGUCUUACCACUUCUGACCGAUGCAUCAUCCACGAAAUGCUCCACCUCCAAAACGAAUCCGAUCUCGAUCCACUUCUGGUUUGCCUCCGAAUGUUAAUCAGGAGGUGUGUUUAUGAGAACACCAGCAAGGAGGAUAUUCCGAAGUUGUUUCCCACGGAAGUUCUGCCUGAAUUGCAGAAACUUUUGACACUUUUGUUGCACAAGUUUCAGCCAGAGUGGCAACAAGAUGUGCUCAAAGAUCAGAAUAUUGUGCCUCGGUUGAAGGCAAUGACAUGGAAUAUGGCAAAUGUGGAUAAAGAAUCAGCAGACCCUGCAGCUGUAAUUAAUUUGAAGCUUCAAAAUGAUGCUCAAUUUCACUCAGGAGAGCAAGAUGUGAAGUUCCAGUUGGCUACUGAUUCUCUAGAUAAUAUGCUGAAAGCCAUGCACUGUAUUAGAGACCAGUUUUCUACCAUGGAUGAGGCACUGAAUGGUCACUAGUACCAGCAGUGGCGGAUCCAGGACUCAGAGUCAGUGGAGGCAUUAAAUCACAAGUUUCUAUUUGGAGUAAUUGAGUCACUCUGAAAUCUUCUUUCUGUGAUUGAAUUAGCUCCGGCUUGGAGCUCAACUGAAAACUUAUGAGAACAUAGAUGACACAUGAAAGACCCAAGCAGGGGGAAUCAAAACUGGGUCAAGUUUUGGUGGGGAGUUGUGGUAUCAUUCGGACCAAAGCCUCAACUGACCAGAUGACUUAUGUAGUUCGGUAUUAUUUAUAUGGAGAAACAGAAAAAAAAAAAAAUUGAUAAUAGUCACGCUUUUUGCAUCAAAAAA